UACGUAGGGGGCUAGCGUUGUCCGGAAUCAUUGGGCGUAAAGCGCGCGUAGGCGGCCUGGUAAGUCCGCUGUGAAAGUCAAAGGCUCAACCUUUGAAUGUCAGCGGAUACUGCCAGGCUAGAGUCCGGAAGAAGCGAGUGGAAUUCCUGGUGUAGCGGUGGAAUGCGCAGAUAUCAGGAGGAACACCAACGGCGAAGGCAGCUCGCUGGGACGGUACUGACGCUGAGGCGCGAAAGCGUGGGGAGCGAACAGG
This 253-nucleotide ribosomal RNA is filed under the name uncultured bacterium. RNAcentral's name for it is "partial 16S ribosomal RNA". It matches the Rfam family "Bacterial small subunit ribosomal RNA", at positions 524 to 776 of the family's 1533-position model. The record is from RNAcentral.